UGGAGGGAGGGAGAGGGAGGUACUUCAGCAGAGUUAGAAGCAGAAGGAGCUCAGGGAUGACAGCCGUGGCGGCCCCACAGAUUUUCUCUGCAUUAUCUUUCAUCAGUGUGGUUUAAAGUUCUUCCUUUGCAUCUUAUCUGCACAAUCCUUUCAGCAUAAUGACGAAGUGCUUUGAUCCGUUUUCAUUACACACAUUUUUAAAAGAAAAGCAACCAUGAUUUAAAAAAAGAUCACGAGCACUUGCUGACGUGCCAGCAGAUUAACUGGUAGUUUCCAAGUUUCCAUGUGCAUGUGAAAGAAAAGAGGUGUCUGGUCGUCUUGGGUUUACACCAAUUUGGAAAAUUAUCUUGAUUAGCCAAAUUUUAAAAAAAUGGAAAGUUUUCACAUAACUGUGUAAACUGUUUCAGGUUUCACUAGUUAUUUGAAAACUAGCAUCUCAUUUUGUAACACUGUGUGAUCAUGCAGAUUUGUAUAGUGAUUUAUAUAGAGGGACAAUACCACAUUAAGUGGACAUUAUGUUCCUCCUUAUUGAAUUGGAAACUUAUUCCUAUAAUAUUAUUCUAUUUUCACUUUAUAUAGAGAUAGUCCAACUUUAGAAAGUGAAUAAUCUUUAUUAUAUACUGCUGUGGAUCCAUGAAAUCCUAAUUCCUUUCUCUCCCCAUGGGGAAAGUCGUCAUUACUCACCAUUUGUCUUAAGUCAAGGAGCAUUAGUCUUCUAUAGAAGAAAGUUUUCACAAAGGUAGACGUGACAGUUUUGCUUUGUAUGUUUGUACCAUCCUUUAAAAAGUUCAUCUUUUACUUGUGCAAUGUAUAAGAGAGUUUAGAUUCUGGAAUAACCCAUUAUUUCCUGACUAUAAUAAGACUUAUUUUUCUUGAUACCACUCAAAAGCAUGUCAAGUAUCUUUUUGUUCUUACCAUGUCGUACAUCAUUAAAUCAUUCCUAUGAUAUUAUUUCCGCCCCACAUGUUAGUAAAAUACUUCUCUUUUUAUUUCUUUCAGUAUAUUGAACCAUUUUUCUUCAGUUAACUUGAACUUACAGCUCUUAUAUAUGAACACAUAAGGUAGUACACUCACUUUGUCCUUGACCUUCAGUGGCUCCCAUGGAUAGUAAACAUGAAUGCUGAUCCUGGGCACAGGAGCCAAAAUCUGAAGGUUAUUUGCUUGUGGAAUGCAGACAGCACAAACUCCUAGAACUCCUUCCAUGAGAUGGGUUCAAGGAGGUUUGGACAUCCUGGCUGAAGUCAUUGUAACACUAGACAGGGAUGAUGGCAUACACCUCUGUUUCCAAAUUUGGAAAGGUGCUUAGACCAGGUGUAUGGCUCAACCAACAGAAUAGAUGAUGUAAUCCCAGGAGGCAAGCUGUCAAAAUUUAAACAAAGCCUGUGCCUGACCCUUAAUCAGAAAAGUCACAUUAUAUUUGUAUACUUAAAGGAGAAAAUGCCUUUCUGUAAGUUAAAAUCACCCAGGCAACCCACCAACCAGUCUACCGUCCACAAAAUCUCUUUUCUUUGUGCAGAAUACAAUAUAAUGAAAAAGCAAGGCCAAAUGACCAAGAAGGGCAUCCUGAGAUUAGUAGAACUUUUAUUCUGACAUUUGCAGAAGUCAAGUCCUGUGCAGUCACAUGCCCAGGUACAUAAACUGCCAUGUAUGUAUUUGUUCUACAUGCCUAGGGAGCAGAUCAGUCUAGGAUAGAAAGUGACAUCCCUAAAUAAGGAAGGCAGAAGUUAUUUUAAAAUACACAGUCAUUUUCAACAAUUACUUACUUUCAUCAAGGACAGGAAAAUUUCAAAGAAAAUACUUGUGUGAAAAGUGGACACAGUAGUCAUUGCUAUAUGUAUAGCCUUGGCUGAAGUGUGAACAAGAUUGACAGGUGCAGCAGAUUUUUCCUCCAGUUUAUACUAGAAUCCCUGUCCUUUAUCCUCCCCCCAUCCUCAGUCCAUCUAAUUGUUUUUGUAACCAUUCAGUUCAAGUGUCACUCUUUUGUGUAUUUUUCCCCUGACCGUCCUAACUCCCUUUCACUUCCCCUUCUUCCUCUUGAUUUCUCUUGUACUGUUUGCCUCUGUCAUUAAAUCACUCUUUUCUCCACUGAAUCACAUAUUAGUGGUUCACCCCUUUUCCUAACAGGUUGUAAACUUUGUGAUGGCCAGGCAUCAUGUCUUAACACAUCUUUGGGCCCCUCAGCUCUUUUCUUCCAGCAUCUGGCAGAGAGCCUCCUAUGGCAGUCUCUUAAUAAACACCCGCAGAACGAAUGAACAAUUGAAUUUCCCUGCUGGCUUAGCUGUCCAUCUUGCAGAGUGGUAAUCUAGAUAGAUGUUUUUAAAUUUUUUAAUUAGAAUAUAGUUGAUUUAUAGCGUUGUGCCAAUUUCUGCUGAACAUCAAAGUGACCCAGUCAUAUAUAUAACACACACACACACACACACACACACACACACACACACUCCCUUUCUUAUAUUAUCUUUCCAUCGUGGUCUAUCCCAAGACACUGGACAUUGCUCCCUGUGAUACAUAGUAGGAUCUCAUUGCUUUCUAGAUAGAUUUUUACUUCCAGUUGCUGGGCAGGAGGAUGAAUCUCCUAUGCAUACUUUUAGUCAAUAAGUUUUGAAAUGGACACCAGUGCCGUGUAUUAUGUGUGUGCAUCCUUAGGACAGAUGGAUAAUAUAAAAACAGUUCACUUAAAGCUAUUGAAAAUAGUCAUGCCUGCAUACAGAGCAUUUUUAGGACUUUAGUUAGUGCCCUAAUUAGUUGAGGUAUAUUCAAAUAAUAGUUCUAAGACUCUCAUUAUUAAGAACAUCAUUCAUAGCAAUGCAAUCUUAAUAUCUUUUGCAGGUUACCAGAAUCAUUUUGCAACAGCCUAGAAAUGCUCAGAAAAAAUUUUUUGUAUCUGCAGAAUGUUGCUUGUUUCUUAUAUUAACCCUUAAAAAAAAUUUUAUUGGACUAUAGCUGACUCACAAUGUCGUUUUAGUUUCAGGUGUAGAGCAAAAGUGAAUCAGUUAUACAUAUAUCCAUUCUUUUUCAGAUUCUUUUCCCAUAUAAUUUUUUACAGCAUAUUGAGUAGAUAUCCCUGUGCUAUACAUGAUAUUAAUCUUAUAAGCAGUGUUUGUGGUUAGAUUUGCCAACUUUUUACAUUCAUUGAGAGUCUCUGAUAAACAGCUGAUUUCUCAGGAAGGGGUUUAUUAUUUGUUUGUUUGCUUGUUUGCGUCCAUCCAUGUAUCCUGUUCUUUAAUGCCGCUCACUGUGUCUUAGAAUUGAGGCACUAGGGAUGACAGUAAAGAAAUGGGUUUAACCAAACAACAUCAGAAUUUAGAUAUGCAAAUCCCUUUCAGGGUGAUCAUCCUGGGAGGUAAUGUCCUUGUAAAAAAAAAAAAAUGCUGCAUAGUUUAUAAUUCUUCCAGAAUAACUACAGGUAACAAAUCAACGGGAAGGGAAGUACAGAUAUUUUCCAUAUUCUCAGUGAGACCAAAGAUCGGCCUUCUAGUCUCACAUUCAUUUAUUAGUCUCAAGGAUUCACUGAAUGUUGAGUAUGUACCAGGUUCUGGUCUGGGCACUGGGUCCUGCACUCCUAGAGCUGACUUUAGUGACUUAGGGAGCUUUAGAGAGCAGAACCACCACCAGUACCUUAUCAUUGUGUAGUCUGUUGUUUGUUUGUUUGUUCGUUUGUUUUGUUUUGUUUUUGUAAGCUCGGUUGAGAUAGUGACUGCCUCUUUCUUUCUUCCAGAAAAAUAACUGCCUUUGGUAAUUGCUACUAUGGAAGUAAAAACUUUCUUUUCCCAGGCAUGGUCAUUAUCAUUACCACAAACUAUCACGGAUGAACCUUGUGCAUAUUAAUGAUCUCGUAACUUGAAAUGAAGAGUCUUUCUUUUGGCAUGAAUGUGGUUGUCAGGUCCCUUUACAACGGCCAUAACAUUAUCUUGGUACUUCUUAUAUCAUGCUAAAACAUUUUCAUGUCAUUUUAUCUUUAGGUAUCAGAUAGUCAACCAUCUACAAAAAUGUCUCUGUACUUUAGUAGUCUAACUGCAUGAUUUCUUUGUAAUAAAUUUUAUUAAAAGUUAAUAUCACAUCUCAAUUUUAAAACACAACCAUUAUAAUAUGCAACAUUGAUUUUAUAGACGGGGGAGUAGAAACGCAUUAAAUAAACCUUUAUUUAUGGUAAGAUGAAUCCUGAUUUCAGAAGAAUCAAUGCAUAAGACAUGUCUCCUCAUUCAGAAAAUAAGACAAAUUCAUCAGUGCCUCAAAACAUGAUGCGUUAAUGUUAGAAGUUGGUCUUUAUUGCCUUCCAUAUGUGGUGAUUGUUGUUGCUGUUGUUAUUUUAGUAACGUAUGCCAACAUUUACCACAACUGAUUACCCUCCUUUAGGAAUUCCUAAAUUCGUCUAAAUCAAACAAGGUAUUGUAUCUGUAUUUAACUGAGGUUUGCUGACAGGACAUUUUAAUUUUAUAUGCUUUUAUUCUAAAAUCUCCACAAUUGUCCCAACUAAGGAUAAUUUUAAGAAUUAAUUUCAGAAGACAGUUUAAAUCAACCAUAGGUAAACAUUAUUUUGUACUCAAGACAGCCUGGAGAAUUUUAAGAAUGGAUAUAUUCUACCAUAUCUGGAGUUUUCUCCCUCACAUUCCAGAUUUCAUUCAUGUGGACCCCCUCCCCCCAAAUUCCAGUCUUGUAAUAUGAGACCAAGACCAAGUUCUUUCUCCACUUUCCAGGCAUUCGUCUCUGGGAACUUCAGUGCUGAAAGAAUUAUUUUUAUGACUUUACAAAUGCUAUUUUCCCAUGACUUAAAGACACCUAAAUUCCUACUUUGAUUAAUUCCCCUCCUACGUAGCUAGGGAAGACAGCUCUGUGGCUUUCAGUCUGUGGUGUCAUGUAGGCUGUAUUCUAAAGUGCCAAAAGCGAAUGUUUAAAUUGCGGUCACUUUUAAGUAUAAAACAAUGUAACUUACAUACUGUAUUUUUUGUUUUGUUUGAGAAUGUUCCUCGAAUGAUGCCAUGGCUUUAUAUAUGUGGUGAUGGAUUAGGCACAACCAGAAGGAUUUGGAUACUCAGUUUCCCUUCUAGCAGUAGAACCUGUUUUUCCCUGGUGAAUAAGAAUGAUUAAAUCUUUCAUUCUCAUCCAACUCAACCAAAUUCAACCACACAAAUUUUCAAGAAUUUCAGGUCAGAACCCAACAUCCUAACUACGUUUCCCAAUCUAAAGGGAUGACAAGACCAAAGCUACUUUUAAAAGAAGGGAAACAGUAAAUAUUGUCCCUUAUCAACUGUAUUUUCUAACACUUCAGUAAAUUCGAAGACAUAUGUACAAUAAUGCAUAUAUUGCCCAUUGAGAAGUAAUGGCUGUUUGGAGGUAAUGUCGGAUUGUCUAGAGUAAUAUGUAUAUAAUUUGCUUUUUAGGGCCUCACUCACGGCAUACAGAGGUUCCCAGGCUAGGGGUCAAGUCAGAGCUGUAGCCUCUGGGCCACGCUACAGCCACAGCAACCAGGGAUCUGAGCCGUGUCUGCAACCUACACCACAGCUCAUGGCAAUGCUGGAUCCUUAACCCACUGAGCGAGACCGGGGAUCAAACCGCAACCUCAUGGUUACUGGUCAGAUUUGUUUCUGCUGUGCUACGAUGGGAACUCCUAGAGUAUUAUAUUUAUGAUACUUUGAAGCACUGUCUUAGUACAUGGUGACUUCGUAGUCUAAAAUAGUUGUGCGUAUCCCACAAAGUGUCUUGAAACUUAGCGAAUUUUUAAACUACUCACCC
This is a non-coding RNA of Sus scrofa (pig), 5730 nucleotides long. Lineage: Eukaryota; Metazoa; Chordata; Mammalia; Artiodactyla; Suidae. The record is from RefSeq and is a predicted model, not a curated record.